Long non-coding RNA from Psammomys obesus (fat sand rat), 1878 nucleotides. RefSeq lists it as uncharacterized. The record is from RefSeq and is a predicted model, not a curated record. NCBI's taxonomy places the organism in Eukaryota, Metazoa, Chordata, Mammalia, Rodentia, Muridae. The transcript is spliced from 4 exons.
CCCACACACCGCCCCCUGCAGCUUGGUGUCACAGCUGGCGGUGCGCCAGCUUCCGUCCACAUCCAGUGGAUCUGACUUUGAGAAUGGUUAGUGACCUGUCACACCACAUGCCCCCAGCGUCUCCAGAGCAGGAAGCGACAACCAGGUGGAUGACAGCAGAUGCGACAGCCUAGCAUUUUGACGCUUGGCAAACAGUCCAGGAAUCAACCCCAGGAUCUGAAGAAUGCUAGGCCAGCUACGCAGGUCUCAUUACUGCCACCUUCAGGUAAGAAAACAGAGGCCAGAGACACGCCCCUUACUUGUCCAAGGCCAUGCAGCCUGUGAGGAGCAGAGUCGAAUUCAAGUGCAGGUCUAUCUGCCUGUGUUUGCUCAGCCCUGACACCUCUAGCUUGGUGACACAGCUGGCCACUCACACCCGUGCCCCUCUCACACCUGCCGCCCACUAGCUCUCCCACCUGAAGCGGCCAUCAUUCUCCGAGGUGUGCAGGCCGAUCCACCAGUGCUGCCCGGGGCCUGAGGAGAACUGGUGAAGGAGGCAGGCAGGGGAGGGUUAGUGGCUUCCCCGCCCGCAGCCUCUGCCCCUUCCCAGCCGGGAACCACCUGCUGCCUCUCACGCCCACCUUCUGCAGGUUCUGCCCCAGGAAGUCCAGCUCUGCCUGGCUGUGGAUGGAGGCCAGCUCUGCCUGGAACCACGUGCAGAUGCGCUGGGCCUGCGUCCACGAGGAAUGGUGCUCAAAGAACUUGUACUCUGCCUCCUGGAAGCGGAGCCACUCCGGCCGGCCUGUGGGAGCAGGUGCCAGGCCACUAGACAGGCCCUUGAAAGCUCCGGGCUUGGUCAGCGCCAGAGCAUGCAACAAGGGAUCUUGCAGAUCCAGUCCAGCUGCGUCUGGCACUCCACAGCCACCCACUGCAGGGAGGCCAGGUCCAGCACCGCACAGCCUCGGACGUCAUCGUCGUCAUGCCGGCUCCGGUCAAAAUUGUGGUAGGAAAACUGGAAAGCGAGAUAAAGACAGAAAGAGGGACCUCCAACAGGCAACCAAGAAGCCGGGCCUGAACUGAGGACUGCCAGGCCGGGUGAACAUCCUUCUCCAUCACCUGAUUACUCUUAACCUACUGGCCAGAAAUCCCUGCCCACGCCAGGCCCUGCCACGCCCCAGCGGGUGCCCACCCAGGACCAAGCCCUACCCACCUCCCCGUCCUGCCUCCUCCACGGCUCCUCACCCCUAGACCAUCGCUCCAGCGCCAGCUCUGACCCUCUCUCGGGUCCCGGCGGUUCAGGCCAAUCCAAAACCAGUGCUGCUCGUGGCUCUCCGGCUCGGAUUCACUUGGGUGGGGACAGAAGAGAGAGGAGGUGAGAGUGGCCGGAGUCCAGCACACAGCCGCUGGCUGUCGCUAAGCAGCCUGCAGCCUCUCCGUCCACGCUGCAAACCGCUGUGCCAAAGCACUGCGGGGGGCUUGGUGUUUGCUUGUUUGGUUUUUGAAAGUUCCCUCCCUAGAGACAAGGUGAGCCAGAGCAGGUGGCCCUGGACUACCUUCCGGGAUACAGGGCCCAGCAAGGCGGCUGCCUAUUUUUCCCUCCUAUGGGGGCGGGAGAAAUUAGAGACACUGGGGCUCUCAAAAACACCGGGGUUCAAAUCGUGCUUUGUCACGGACCCACUGCCACACCGGACCAACAGUCUAACUCCUGAGUACGACCUGAACAUGAGGUCACUGAGCGAGUACGGGCACAGGGUGCGGGGAAGGGGGUGGGCUGCAAGCCGCACCCACGUGAUGAGCCGAGAAAAAAGCGGUGAGCAGCACGGGCUGCUGUAAUUACUAGUCAAGUGAUAAAAGCCCGACUGCUGGGAGGAAGUAGCUCUGAAAUUAAAUCUCAGGGCG